GCUUCCUUUAGAAUAAAUCAUUUGAAAUAAAAGAAUUCAAUUGAAUUUUCACAUUUUCUUUUAAUAGGAAUUUCUUUUUAAGUUAAAGAAUUGAAUUUUUUCAUUCCAAACAUGAGAGUCGAGCAGAAAGAAACUAAUUUGAAUUGAAUUUUUGCCAAAUUCUAGUUUCCAAGUAGGGGAAUUAGAACUUUGGAUAGAAUUUAAAUAUUGAAUAUUGCAACUAGGUCUCUAAGAUGUAAAUCACCAGAGUUUCGGAAAUACUCCAUUAGUAAAGCAAAUUAAUUUCUGAACUGGAAUAUUUUCUUUUCUUCACUGGGAGGUCCCAUUUUAAUCUAUUUGAUCCUCACCAGAAUUUUGGAACUAUUCCCAUUAGUGGAGCAAACUGAAUCCAUAAUGAAUUUUUUAAAAUAAUUGUUUGACACAAAUGAACUGGGUAAUCCCACCAAUGUAUGCUAUGGAUCUCUACAAAUUAGACUGUUUGAAUAAUGGUCACUGCCCUCAAGUUUUACUAUUAGUUCUUACUUAAAUUCACUAUCAAUUGUUCUCUUCACAGAAUGCAUGGUCUGGUGGAUACAUUGCCGGUACAAGCAU
Molecule: unclassified non-coding RNA, 591 nt
Filed under: Hevea brasiliensis (rubber tree)
Lineage: Eukaryota; Viridiplantae; Streptophyta; Magnoliopsida; Malpighiales; Euphorbiaceae
Source: RNAcentral